GUGAGCUUCUCUUGGAGGGUUGGGCGAAUUGUGAAGAAAUACGUUAAAUUAGAAGAAAUGUAAAGAAGACUUCCCCUCUGAACUUUAGGUUUGCUGUGACUCAGAGAGUGUGAGAAAAUUAGACCACAGCACCACUAAAAACCAAGACAAACAGCUGUACACCUGUCAAGUUGGAAUUAUUAGGCUGUAUUUGCAAGCUGAGAAUAUGAUGAAUACAAAUAUCAAAUGCUACACAACACCGAUCCUUUUCUGGCAGGAAGUUAAAAUUUAAAAGAAACCAAGGAACAGAGAAGUUAUGUAAUGUUCUCAAGGUCAUUCAGUAGAAACAGAAGACAAACCUAGCUGUAUGACUGCAGAACAGCUUCUUUCAACCACGUCAGUAACAACCGGGAAUACUAACGUAAGAUGAGAGAGUUCACCUGACAAACACAAGGCUCUACUUUCUGUGCUAGGCACCAGCACCCAAAACAUCAAUAUCCC
Molecule: long non-coding RNA, 480 nt
Filed under: Cricetulus griseus (Chinese hamster)
Lineage: Eukaryota; Metazoa; Chordata; Mammalia; Rodentia; Cricetidae
Description: lncRNA (ENSCGRG00015029040.1)
Source: RNAcentral